UACGAAGGGGGCUAGCGUUGCUCGGAAUCACUGGGCGUAAAGCGCACGUAGGCGGCUUUUUAAGUCAGGGGUGAGAUCCUGGAGCUCAACUCCAGAACUGCCUUUGAUACUGAGAAGCUUGAGUCCGGGAGAGGUGAGUGGAACUGCGAGUGUAGAGGUGAAAUUCGUAGAUAUUCGGAAGAACACCAGUGGCGAAGGCGGCUCACUGGACUGGUAUUGACGCUGAGGUGCGAAAGCGUGGGGAGCAAACAGG
Molecule: ribosomal RNA, 253 nt
Filed under: uncultured bacterium
Lineage: Bacteria
Description: partial 16S ribosomal RNA
Rfam family: Bacterial small subunit ribosomal RNA
Source: RNAcentral